AGAUUGAACGCUGGCGGCAUGCCUAACACAUGCAAGUCGAACGGGAGUAGCAAUACUCUAGUGGCGGACGGGUGAGGAAUACGUAGGAAUUUGCCCUUAAGUGGGGGAUAACCCGGGGAAACCCGGAUUAAUACCGCAUGACCUCGAAAGAGCAAAGUGGGGGAUCGCAAGACCUCACGCUUUUGGAGAAGCCUACGUCGGAUUAGCUAGUUGGUGAGGUAAUGGCUCACCAAGGCGACGAUCCGUAACUGGUCUGAGAGGAUGAUCAGUCACACCGGAACUGAGACACGGUCCGGACUCCUACGGGAGGCAGCAGUGGGAAUAUGGACAAGUGGGCGCAAGCCUGAUCCGAGCAAUGCCGCGUGUGUGAAGAGGCCUUGGGUUAGUAAAGCAACUUUAAGUAGGAAAGAAAACUCGACUACAAC
RNAcentral lists this ribosomal RNA (425 nucleotides) under uncultured soil bacterium. Its description in RNAcentral is "bacterial SSU rRNA". It matches the Rfam family "Bacterial small subunit ribosomal RNA", at positions 26 to 463 of the family's 1533-position model. The record is from RNAcentral.